Molecule: ribosomal RNA, 253 nt
Filed under: uncultured bacterium
Lineage: Bacteria
Description: partial 16S ribosomal RNA
Rfam family: Bacterial small subunit ribosomal RNA
Source: RNAcentral
UACGGAGGGUGCAAGCGUUAUCCGGAUUCACUGGGUUUAAAGGGUGCGUAGGUGGGUCUGUAAGUCCGUGGUGAAAUCUCCGAGCUUAACUUGGAAACUGCCAUGGAUACUAUAGAUCUUGAAUACUGUGGAGGUUAGCGGAAUAUGUCAUGUAGCGGUGAAAUGCUUAGAUAUGACAUAGAACACCAAUUGCGAAGGCAGCUGGCUACACAAUUAUUGACACUGAUGCACGAAAGCGUGGGGAGCAAACAGG